This is a long non-coding RNA of Amphimedon queenslandica, 1298 nucleotides long. RefSeq lists it as uncharacterized. NCBI's taxonomy places the organism in Eukaryota, Metazoa, Porifera, Demospongiae, Haplosclerida, Niphatidae. The record is from RefSeq and is a predicted model, not a curated record. The transcript is spliced from 5 exons.
AUAUAUGUGUGGUUCAGAUCAUAUCUAUGUUCAGAUCUAGACCUGUAGAGCUAUAGUUAUUGUUUUUGGCUACAGAGAACAGCACAGUAUCUAGAUGUGUCUCCUGGCUUUGUUUCUUUCUGCUUGGGUAUUAUCAGUAGCUUUUGGUGUGCUUUUUGUUUUUUGAGUAAUCUAGCAUUAAAACUAGAUCUAAUGUUGUAGAUAUAUAGAUAGUUCUUUAUUGUUCUCUAUCUCUAUUUGGCCAUGAUUCGGCAUAGUUUGCUUUGUAUGUUAAAAUUUACACCUUUUGUAGGUUGCUCACAUGGUCAGAUAUGUCCAUAGUGAAUGGAAAUGGUCCAAAUGUGGGAAGACUAGAAACAUGUAUUAAUGGAGAUGGGGGACUGUGUGUGAUGAUAAGUGGUCACACACCAAUGCUCAGGUAGUCUGCAGACAACUAAGAUACUCUACUGAUGGGGCUGUAUUUCUUAGUAAAGCAUUUUUUGGUGCCGGGAUUGGGACCAUAUUAUUAGAUGAUGUUGUUUGUUCAUUACUGAAUGGAUCUCUUCAGUGAAUUUUUUCAAGUUGCUAAUGAAAUGUCUUACUUAGCAACAUUUAUGAUGAUCUUGUUGCUAUAAACUGCAUGUAGUCUAAGUCUUUAAAUUUAAAACACCAGUAAAUCUAUUUUAACUAAUUUAUAUUUCAUGAAUUGAUGAUAAUUGUAUUGCUAAAGCUGAUUUUGGUCUAUUUGAUAACAUAAUAUGCUUGCAAUUACUUCAGGCAACUAAAGGGCAGUGAUAAUAACUCAGGAUCAUCAACAGUUAAACUACCAGUGAAAUAGAUGGCAUUAAAGACCCUUCAUGAUGGACUGUUCUCUGAAAAAUCAGAUGUUUGGUCUUAUGGUGUUCUUUGUUGGAAAAUAUUCAGUCUUGGUAAGGUACCAUAUCCUGGUCUGGAUCCAAUAGGAGUAGUGGAGUUACUGGAUACUGGAGGAUGAUUGCAUUAUGGAACCGCUCAAUGCAUCACAGGAAAUGCAAGAGCAUACAGAUUUACUUAGCAGGUCUAGGUGUGGUUAGAAAGAGCUGUAUAGCCAUACUAAAAAUGUUGCUCCUCACAUUACUUUUCUCUGCUUGGAUAUUAUCAACAGCUCUAGUCAAUGGUUGCUUACAUGGUCAGGUACGUUUAGUAGAUGGAGAUGGUCCAAAUGUGGGAAGACUAGAAAUAUGUAUUAAUGGAGAUUGGGGAACUGUUUGUGAUGAUAUGUGGACACACACCAAUGCUCAGGUAGUCUGUAGACAACUGGGAUACUCUACUGAUGGUAA